UCNUCUGGCUUAACUGGGGGCUUGCGGUGGGUACGGGCCGGCUUGAGUGCGGUAGGGGAGACUGGAACUCCUGGUGUAGCGGUGGAAUGCGCAGAUAUCAGGAAGAACACCGGUGGCGAAGGUGGGUCUCUAGGCCGUUACUGACGCUGGGGAGCGAAAGCGUGGGGAGCGAACAGGAUUAGAUACCCUGGUAGUCCACGCCGUAAACGUUGGGCACUAGGUGUGGGGGGCCUUUUCCGGGUUUUCCGCGCCGUAGCUAACGCAUUAAGUGCCCCGCCUGGGGAGUACGGCCGCAAGGCUAAAACUCAAAGGAAUUGACGGGGGCCCGCACAAGCGGCGGAGCAUGCGGAUUAAUUCGAUGCAACGCGAAGAACCUUACCAAGGCUUGACAUGUGCCGGUCGGCUCCGGAGACGGGGUUUCCUCCUUGUGGGGCCGGUUCACAGGUGGUGCAUGGUUGUCGUCAGCUCGUGUCGUGAGAUGUUGGGUUAAGUCCCGCAACGAGCGCAACCCUUGUCCCGUGUUGCCAGCACGUUGUGGUGGGGACCCGCGGGAGACUGCCGGGGUCAACUCGGAGGAAGGUGGGGAUGACGUCAAAUCAUCAUGCCCCUUAUGUCUUGGGCUUCACGCAUGCUACAAUGGCCGGUACAGAGGGCUGCGAUACCGUGAGGUGGAGCGAAUCCCUUAAAGCCGGUCUCAGUUCGGAUCGGUGUCUGCAACUCGACACCGUGAAGUUGGAGUCGCUAGUAAUCGCAGAUCAGCAGCGCUGCGGUGAAUACGUUCUCGGGCCUUGUACACACCGCCCGUCACGUCAUGAAAGUCGGCAACACCCGAAGCCCGUGGCCCUACGGGGA
This 852-nucleotide ribosomal RNA is filed under the name uncultured bacterium. Its description in RNAcentral is "bacterial SSU rRNA". It matches the Rfam family "Bacterial small subunit ribosomal RNA", at positions 600 to 1444 of the family's 1533-position model. The record is from RNAcentral.